Orcinus orca (killer whale) is the source of this 369-nucleotide long non-coding RNA. RefSeq lists it as uncharacterized. The record is from RefSeq and is a predicted model, not a curated record. Lineage: Eukaryota; Metazoa; Chordata; Mammalia; Artiodactyla; Delphinidae. The transcript is spliced from 3 exons.
CCCAGAAAGGAUACUGAAGAUGAUGCCACCAAAACAGGCCGAGAACGCCAUCCGCGGGUAGCCCUGGCGGGCCAGCGUGAGAUCUGAGAAGACAUCUGCGUGGAAACACGAGAAGGCCUUGAGGGGCAACUCUGAGGGUGUGACAUGCCACCACCAAUCUUUCACCCAUGUCCCGUCUGCUGCUAGCACACACAGCACCUCGGGGCAAAUGAGGAAAAGGGGCCCAAAAAGGCCAGCAGCGUGAGCCCGAGGACAGUGUUGCUCAGCCGGAAGACCACACCCAGGGACCGUAAGACGUUCACCACCUCCGUGGCAGCUGCGUUGAUCCACAGGGCGCUGGUCAGGAAGCCCAGGAAAGCAAAGAGCUGG